GCCUAGCCCUAAACAUUGAUAGUACUAUACACCCACUAUCCGCCAGGGUACUACGAGCAAUAGCUUAAAACCCAAAGGACUUGGCGGUGCUUUAGACCCACCUAGAGGAGCCUGUUCUAGAACCGAUAACCCCCGUUCAACCUCACCCUUCCUUGUUUUACCCGCCUAUAUACCGCCGUCGUCAGCUUACCCUGUGAGGGACUAAUAGUAAGCAGAACUGGUACAACCUAAAACGUCAGGUCGAGGUGUAGCGUAUGGAGGGGGAAGAAAUGGGCUACAUUCGCUACCACAGCGAACACGAAUGAUGCACUGAAACACACAUCUGAAGGAGGAUUUAGCAGUAAGCUGGAAAUAGAGCGUCCCGCUGAAACUGGCCCUGAAGCGCGC
This 387-nucleotide ribosomal RNA is filed under the name Cottus ricei (spoonhead sculpin). Its description in RNAcentral is "partial small subunit ribosomal RNA". It matches the Rfam family "Bacterial small subunit ribosomal RNA", at positions 794 to 1384 of the family's 1533-position model. The record is from RNAcentral. Lineage: Eukaryota; Metazoa; Chordata; Actinopteri; Perciformes; Cottidae.